UGGAAGAUAUUCAUCAGGAUGUUCCUGCGAUCACAACUGUGUUCACAAUGGCACCUGCUGCCCAGAUUUCUGUUAUCAAUGUCCUUACAUUAAUUCUGGGUACUGUGGAUACACAACAGCAGAAACAAUAACAACAACACCAG
Molecule: long non-coding RNA, 143 nt
Organism: Hemiscyllium ocellatum (epaulette shark)
Lineage: Eukaryota; Metazoa; Chordata; Chondrichthyes; Orectolobiformes; Hemiscylliidae
Exons: 3
Source: RefSeq, a predicted model, not a curated record